UACGUAGGGUGCAAGCGUUGUCCGGAAUUAUUGGGCGUAAAGAGCUCGUAGGCGGUCUGUCGCGUCGGAUGUGAAAAUCCAGGGCUCAACCCUGGACCUGCAUUCGAUACGGGCAGACUAGAGUUCGGUAGGGGAGACUGGAAUUCCUGGUGUAGCGGUGAAAUGCGCAGAUAUCAGGAGGAACACCGGUGGCGAAGGCGGGUCUCUGGGCCGAUACUGACGCUAAGGAGCGAAAGCGUGGGGAGCGAACAGG
This 253-nucleotide ribosomal RNA is filed under the name uncultured bacterium. Its description in RNAcentral is "partial 16S ribosomal RNA". It matches the Rfam family "Bacterial small subunit ribosomal RNA", at positions 524 to 776 of the family's 1533-position model. The record is from RNAcentral.